GAUGAACGCUGGCGGCGUGCCUAAUACAUGCAAGUCGAGCGAACAGACGAGGAGCUUGCUCCUCUGACGUUAGCGGCGGACGGGUGAGUAACACGUGGAUAACCUACCUAUAAGACUGGGAUAACUUCGGGAAACCGGAGCUAAUACCGGAUAAUAUAUUGAACCGCAUGGUUCAAUAGUGAAAGACGGUUUUGCUGUCACUUAUAGAUGGAUCCGCGCCGCAUUAGCUAGUUGGUAAGGUAACGGCUUACCAAGGCGACGAUGCGUAGCCGACCUGAGAGGGUGAUAGGCCACACUGGAACUGAGACACGGUCCAGACUCCUACGGGAGGCAGCAGUAGGGAAUCUGCCGCAAUGGGCGAAAGCCUGACGGAGCAACGCCGCGUGAGUGAUGAAGGUCUUCGGAUCGUAAAACUCUGUUAUUAGGGAAGAACAAAUGUGUAAGUAACUAUGCACGUCUUGACGGUACCGAAUCAGAAAGCCACGGCUAACUACGUG
RNAcentral lists this ribosomal RNA (497 nucleotides) under uncultured bacterium. RNAcentral's name for it is "partial 16S ribosomal RNA". It matches the Rfam family "Bacterial small subunit ribosomal RNA", at positions 28 to 507 of the family's 1533-position model. The record is from RNAcentral.